Molecule: long non-coding RNA, 107 nt
Organism: Sapajus apella (tufted capuchin)
Lineage: Eukaryota; Metazoa; Chordata; Mammalia; Primates; Cebidae
Exons: 3
Source: RefSeq, a predicted model, not a curated record
GUUCCAUACAUGUUGUUGCAAAUGACAGGAUCUCAUUCAUUGUUAUGACUGAAUAGCACUCCACUGUGCAUAUGUAGCGCAUUUUCUUAAUCCUUUCAUCAUGUAAA